This 1813-nucleotide ribosomal RNA is filed under the name Ipomoea nil (Japanese morning glory). RNAcentral describes it as "SSU rRNA". The stretch from base 2 to 1127 matches the Rfam family "Eukaryotic small subunit ribosomal RNA", at positions 4 to 1116 of the family's 1831-position model. The record is from RNAcentral. Lineage: Eukaryota; Viridiplantae; Streptophyta; Magnoliopsida; Solanales; Convolvulaceae.
CCUGGUUGAUCCUGCCAGUAGUCAUAUGCUUGUCUCAAAGAUUAAGCCAUGCAUGUGUAAGUAUGAACUAAUUCAGACUGUGAAACUGCGAAUGGCUCAUUAAAUCAGUUAUAGUUUGUUUGAUGGUACCUACUACUCGGAUAACCGUAGUAAUUCUAGAGCUAAUACGUGCCAACAAAACCCCCGACUUCUGGAAAGGGAUGCAUUUAUUAGAUAAAAGGUCGACGCGGGCUCUGCCCGUUGCUGCCGAUGAUUCAUGAUAAACUCGACGGAUCGCACGGCCCUUAGCGCCCGGCGACGCAUCAUUCAAAUUUCUGCCCUAUCAACUUUCCGAUGGUAGGAUAGUGGGCCUACCAUGGUGGUGACGCGGUGACGGGAGGAAUUAGGGUUCGAUUCCGGAGAGGGAGCUGGAGAAACGGCUACCACAUCCAAGGAAGGCAGCAGGCGCGCAAAUUACCCAAUCCUGACACGGGGAGGUAGUGACAAGAAAUAACAAGUACCGGGCUCGAGUCGAGGCUGGCGUAAGGGAAUGAGUACAAUCUAAAUCCCUUAACGAGGAGUCCAUUGGGAAGGGCAAGUCGGGGGCCAGCAGCCGCCGGAAUUCCAGCUCAAUGAGCGUAGAUUUAAGGGUUGCAGUUAAAAAGCUCGUAGUUGGGACUUGGGAUGGGCCGGCCGGUCCGCCCCACGGGUGGCACGGGCGUCGCCGUCCCUCGGCCCGGCGAUGGCGCUCCGGGCCUUAAGUGGGCCGGGUCGUGCCUCCGGCGGCUGUGACUGGAAGAAAUAGAGGGCGCAAAGCAAGCCGACGCGCGUGGAGACAGGAGCAGGGAGAACAGGAGAGGAUGUGCGGGCCGAGUACGGGGGCCGGCGGGACGGAGGAAGGAGGAACAGGGACAGUCGGGGGCAGGCGGAGUGCAGAGGCAGAGGGGAAAGGCGGGAGGGAGGAAAGACGAACAACGGCGAAAGCAGUGGGCCAAGGAGGGGCAUGAAGCAAGAACGAAAGGGGGGGGCCGAAGACGAGCAGAGACCGGCCGAGGCGCAACCAGAAACGAGGCCGACCAGGGAGCGGCGGAGGUGGCUGGUGAGGACGCCGCCGGCACCGGAGGAGAAAGCAAAGGCUGGGGGUGCCGGGGGGAGGAGGGGCGCAAGGCGGAAACUGGAAAGGAAGGGACGGAAGGGCACCACCAGGAGGGGAGCCGGCGGCGUAAGGGGACGCAACACGGGGAAACGGACCAGGGCCAGACAGAGGAAGGAGGGACAGACGGAGAGCGCGGGCGAGAGGCGAGGGGGGGGGGGGCAGGGCCGGCGGAGGGGGGGGAGCGAGGGGCGGGGAAGGCCGGGAACGAACGAGACCGCAGCCGGCGAACGAGCGAGGCGGAGGGAGCCCGCCGCGGCCAGCGGCGGAGAGGGACGACGGCCGGGCAAGCCGCGGAAGGGGGAGGCCAAUGAACAGGGCGGGGAGGCCCGGAGAGGGCGGGGCCGCACGCGCGCGACACGGAGGGAGGCAACGAGCAGAGAGCCGGGGCGGACAGGGCCCGGGGAAGCGGGGAAAGGGCAGCGGGAGGGGGAGAGAGCAGGGCAAGGGGGGGCUGCAACGAGGAAGGCCGAGGAAGCGCGAGGCAGCAGCGCGCGGGACGACGGCCCGGCCGGGGACACACCGCCCGGCGCGCCGACCGAGGGAAGGAGCCGGGGAAGGGGGCGGAGCGCGGCGACGGGGGCGGGGCGCGGCCCGCGACGGCGCCGAGAAGGCCACGGAACCGGAGCAGGAGAGGAAGGAGAAGGCGGAACAAGGGGGCCGGAGGGGAACCGGCGGAAG